UGGAAAGAAUGACACAGCUGGGUUGCAUCGUCAGGAGGACAUACUUCGUACAGCGGCCUUUGUCAUUAGUGCAUGUGGACACAAACCAUAAGCUCAUAAGGUACAUCAUCGUCAUAUUUGGAGCAAUAGAUGGUUACUCAAGAAAGGUGUAUCACUUUUUGUUUACUACUUUUUUAUAGUGCUUUAUUCUUCCUGAAUAUGUUUGUGUUCAUGUAUUCACUGUUGAUAGACUGCAUAUGGGUCCAUGUGCACAGCAAGAGUCACGUUUAAUGAGCACAUUUUUGGUGCAUUACAUUUGGUAAUAUACUUUAACCUAAGUCAUUGUUAGUGUGUGCAGUAGGCAAUGUGAGUAUAUUUAAACGUUUGCAGAUUCACUAUAUGAAACUCUUGUUUGUCUGUAUAGAUACUGUAUCUGGAACCAGCAACAAAUAACCACUCAAACACUGCCCUUUCAUUUUUCCUCAAGGCAGUGGAAAACUUUGGCUGGCCUUCCAGGGUCAGAGCCGAUGAAAGCGUUGAAAAUGUCGCAAUUGCUGAAACCAUGUUCAAUGUUAAAGGCACCGGAAGAGGGAGCUUCAUCGCUGGGCGAAGCGUACACAACCAAA
This is a long non-coding RNA of Xyrauchen texanus (razorback sucker), 605 nucleotides long. RefSeq lists it as uncharacterized. The record is from RefSeq and is a predicted model, not a curated record. The transcript is spliced from 3 exons. Lineage: Eukaryota; Metazoa; Chordata; Actinopteri; Cypriniformes; Catostomidae.